UACAGAGGGGGCAAGCGUUAUUCGGAAUUAUUGGGCGUAAAGGGCGCGUAGGCGGCCUUGCAAGUGGAAGGUGAAAUCCCUCGGCUUAACCGAGGAACUGCCUUCCAGACUGCUAGGCUUGAGACCGGGAGAGGUGAGUGGAAUUCCCAGUGUAGCGGUGAAAUGCGUAGAUAUUGGGAGGAACACCAGUGGCGAAGGCGGCUCACUGGACCGGUACUGACGCUGAUGCGCGAAAGCGUGGGGAGCAAACGGG
RNAcentral lists this ribosomal RNA (253 nucleotides) under uncultured bacterium. RNAcentral's name for it is "partial 16S ribosomal RNA". It matches the Rfam family "Bacterial small subunit ribosomal RNA", at positions 524 to 776 of the family's 1533-position model. The record is from RNAcentral.